Molecule: ribosomal RNA, 253 nt
Filed under: uncultured bacterium
Lineage: Bacteria
Description: partial 16S ribosomal RNA
Rfam family: Bacterial small subunit ribosomal RNA
Source: RNAcentral
GACAGAGGGGGCAAGCGUUGUCCGGACUGACUGGGCGUAAAGCGCCCGCAGGUGGUCGCGCAAGUGGGGUGUGAAAGCUCUCGGCUUAACUGAGAGAGGCCAUCUCAGACUGCGCGACUGGAGCCGUGCAGAGGCCCGUGGAAUUGCCGGUGUAGUGGUGAAAUGCGUAGAGAUCGGCAGGAACACCCAGGGGGAAACCAGCGGGCUGGGCACGUGCUGACACUGAAGGGCGAAAGCGUGGGGAGCGAACCGG